This 2903-nucleotide ribosomal RNA is filed under the name Klebsiella aerogenes UCI 47. Its description in RNAcentral is "bacterial LSU rRNA". It matches the Rfam family "Bacterial large subunit ribosomal RNA". Lineage: Bacteria; Pseudomonadati; Pseudomonadota; Gammaproteobacteria; Enterobacterales; Enterobacteriaceae. The record is from RNAcentral. RNAcentral also lists the same sequence under 1 other name.
UUAAGCGACUAAGCGUACACGGUGGAUGCCCUGGCAGUCAGAGGCGAUGAAGGACGUGCUAAUCUGCGAAAAGCGUCGGUAAGGUGAUAUGAACCGUUACAGCCGGCGAUGUCCGAAUGGGGAAACCCAGUGUGAUUCGUCACACUAUCGUUAACUGAAUACAUAGGUUAACGAGGCGAACCGGGGGAACUGAAACAUCUAAGUACCCCGAGGAAAAGAAAUCAACCGAGAUUCCCCCAGUAGCGGCGAGCGAACGGGGAGCAGCCCAGAGUCUGAAUCAGCUUGUGUGUUAGUGGAACGGUCUGGAAAGUCCGACGGUACAGGGUGAUAGUCCCGUACACCAAAAUGCACAGGCUGUGAACUCGAAGAGUAGGGCGGGACACGUGGUAUCCUGUCUGAAUAUGGGGGGACCAUCCUCCAAGGCUAAAUACUCCUGACUGACCGAUAGUGAACCAGUACCGUGAGGGAAAGGCGAAAAGAACCCCGGCGAGGGGAGUGAAAAAGAACCUGAAACCGUGUACGUACAAGCAGUGGGAGCACCUUCGGGUGUGACUGCGUACCUUUUGUAUAAUGGGUCAGCGACUUAUAUUCUGUAGCAAGGUUAACCGUAUAGGGGAGCCGCAGGGAAACCGAGUCUUAACUGGGCGUUAAGUUGCAGGGUAUAGACCCGAAACCCGGUGAUCUAGCCAUGGGCAGGUUGAAGGUUGGGUAACACUAACUGGAGGACCGAACCGACUAAUGUUGAAAAAUUAGCGGAUGACUUGUGGCUGGGGGUGAAAGGCCAAUCAAACCGGGAGAUAGCUGGUUCUCCCCGAAAGCUAUUUAGGUAGCGCCUCGUGAAUUCAUCUUCGGGGGUAGAGCACUGUUUCGGCUAGGGGGUCAUCCCGACUUACCAACCCGAUGCAAACUACGAAUACCGAAGAAUGUUAUCACGGGAGACACACGGCGGGUGCUAACGUCCGUCGUGAAGAGGGAAACAACCCAGACCGCCAGCUAAGGUCCCAAAGUCACAGUUAAGUGGGAAACGAUGUGGGAAGGCACAGACAGCCAGGAUGUUGGCUUAGAAGCAGCCAUCAUUUAAAGAAAGCGUAAUAGCUCACUGGUCGAGUCGGCCUGCGCGGAAGAUGUAACGGGGCUAAACUGUGCACCGAAGCUGCGGCAGCGACACUAUGUGUUGUUGGGUAGGGGAGCGUUCUGUAAGCCUGCGAAGGUGGCCUGUGAGGGUUGCUGGAGGUAUCAGAAGUGCGAAUGCUGACAUAAGUAACGAUAAUGCGGGUGAAAAGCCCGCACGCCGGAAGACCAAGGGUUCCUGUCCAACGUUAAUCGGGGCAGGGUGAGUCGACCCCUAAGGCGAGGCCGAAAGGCGUAGUCGAUGGGAAACAGGUUAAUAUUCCUGUACUUGGUGUUACUGCGAAGGGGGGACGGAGAAGGCUAUGUUAGCCGGGCGACGGUUGUCCCGGUUUAAGCAUGUAGGCGGAGGUUCCAGGUAAAUCCGGUACCUUUUUAACGCUGAGGUGUGAUGACGAGGCACUACGGUGCUGAAGUAACAAAUGCCCUGCUUCCAGGAAAAGCCUCUAAGCAUCAGGUAACAUUAAAUCGUACCCCAAACCGACACAGGUGGUCAGGUAGAGAAUACCAAGGCGCUUGAGAGAACUCGGGUGAAGGAACUAGGCAAAAUGGUGCCGUAACUUCGGGAGAAGGCACGCUGAUAUGUAGGUGAAGCCCCUGCGGGUGGAGCUGAAAUCAGUCGAAGAUACCAGCUGGCUGCAACUGUUUAUUAAAAACACAGCACUGUGCAAACACGAAAGUGGACGUAUACGGUGUGACGCCUGCCCGGUGCCGGAAGGUUAAUUGAUGGGGUUAUCCGUAAGGAGAAGCUCUUGAUCGAAGCCCCGGUAAACGGCGGCCGUAACUAUAACGGUCCUAAGGUAGCGAAAUUCCUUGUCGGGUAAGUUCCGACCUGCACGAAUGGCGUAAUGAUGGCCAGGCUGUCUCCACCCGAGACUCAGUGAAAUUGAACUCGCUGUGAAGAUGCAGUGUACCCGCGGCAAGACGGAAAGACCCCGUGAACCUUUACUAUAGCUUGACACUGAACAUUGAGCCUUGAUGUGUAGGAUAGGUGGGAGGCUUUGAAGCGUGGACGCCAGUCUGCGUGGAGCCAACCUUGAAAUACCACCCUUUAAUGUUUGAUGUUCUAACGUUGGCCCCUUAUCGGGGUUGCGGACAGUGUCUGGUGGGUAGUUUGACUGGGGCGGUCUCCUCCCAAAGAGUAACGGAGGAGCACGAAGGUUAGCUAAUCCUGGUCGGACAUCAGGAGGUUAGUGCAAUGGCAUAAGCUAGCUUGACUGCGAGCGUGACGGCGCGAGCAGGUGCGAAAGCAGGUCAUAGUGAUCCGGUGGUUCUGAAUGGAAGGGCCAUCGCUCAACGGAUAAAAGGUACUCCGGGGAUAACAGGCUGAUACCGCCCAAGAGUUCAUAUCGACGGCGGUGUUUGGCACCUCGAUGUCGGCUCAUCACAUCCUGGGGCUGAAGUAGGUCCCAAGGGUAUGGCUGUUCGCCAUUUAAAGUGGUACGCGAGCUGGGUUUAGAACGUCGUGAGACAGUUCGGUCCCUAUCUGCCGUGGGCGCUGGAGAAUUGAGGGGGGCUGCUCCUAGUACGAGAGGACCGGAGUGGACGCAUCACUGGUGUUCGGGUUGUCAUGCCAAUGGCAUUGCCCGGUAGCUAAAUGCGGAAGAGAUAAGUGCUGAAAGCAUCUAAGCACGAAACUUGCCCCGAGAUGAGUUCUCCCUGAGACUUAAAGUCUCCUGAAGGAACGUUAAAGACGAUGACGUUGAUAGGUCGGGUGUGUAAGCGUAGCGAUACGUUGAGCUAACCGAUACUAAUGAACCGUGAGGCUUAACCUU